Molecule: long non-coding RNA, 1102 nt
Organism: Argiope bruennichi
Lineage: Eukaryota; Metazoa; Arthropoda; Arachnida; Araneae; Araneidae
Exons: 3
Source: RefSeq, a predicted model, not a curated record
UCUAUCCAUCCCGGUGAUCAUCUUCAAAGCUUGAAGCGAGGGAGGUAAUCAUCUGGUGCUAACAAGUUUCCAGUAACAGGAAGUUGUAGUGACAGGCUGUGCUGCUCCUGUAUCUAACUGUUAAUAAUAGUGUCUUCCGGCCUAUACCACGGAAAGAAGUCCAAACAUCAAUCAGCAUUUGAGAGAAUACCAGGUGCAUAUUCCAGAAUAAAGAUACAUCUUCAGUAUUAUGACAACCUACGAGCGAGAAUUAUUUUAUCUGCCCUUGCCACCAAAGGACGAGCAUGGCUUUUAUAUGAGCGUUGCUGUCCUUGCGUUUCCGUUCGAUAAUAAUGGAAAUGUCGACUCCUUCAGCGCCUGCUGUGGGCCUUUUAUCGACAUCUUUGAAAUGACUCCGGGAUGGAUAGACUAUUUUAAGGAACAUUAUAUUAGACGAAGGAGAAUCACUCAUCUUUUACUAAGUUUCCAUAGAAAUAAAAAAGAAAUGCUACAGUAUCUGAAAGAUAAUUUACCUGGAAUUAUUAUAGGGGAUUUUGACAAAGGGAUACCAUAUGGUCCCAUGCGAAUAAUUCAUAGCCAAACAAGUGGCAGUUUGUAUGACAAAGCAGUCAAAGCCUUAAUGUGGCUUAGAGAGCUUUUCUCUGAAAUAAGGGAGUUAUUUUCACUUCCUCGAUAAUUCCCGAUUAACGUUUUUCAGAACUUCCAUGCCAUUUUUUCAGCUCUAGUGAUAAAUGGAAUUCAUUAAAGAAAAAUUGCACAAUUAGAUAGUCAUUUUAUCUCUAAUUUCAAAACAUAUACUGGUGUGCCAAAUCAUAAAACUUUCAUCAGCUCUGUUUCUAAAUAUAAAAAAUAAUAAUGAUCUAGUAGACACAAUACAAACAUUAAAUAGCUAGGUCAUCAGAUAAUUAUUAAAAGACAUAGCCUUUAUUCAAUAAGAUCCAUUCAAUUUAUAAUUCUUUCCUCAAAAAGAAAUGAAUUUCAAUGGAUUUUAUUUCGUUCAUAUUUAUUUUCAUGUCAUUUUAUUAAACUGUUUAAAACUAUAUGCGCUUGAAUUCAAGAAUCUGAUAUUUUCUAAAAAAAUUCAAAAAUAAAUUUCGUUCUA